This 403-nucleotide ribosomal RNA is filed under the name Candidatus Solibacter sp. Its description in RNAcentral is "partial 16S ribosomal RNA". It matches the Rfam family "Bacterial small subunit ribosomal RNA", at positions 355 to 774 of the family's 1533-position model. The record is from RNAcentral. RNAcentral also lists the same sequence under 1 other name. Lineage: Bacteria; Pseudomonadati; Acidobacteriota; Terriglobia; Bryobacterales; Solibacteraceae.
UGGGGAAUCUUGCACAAUGGGGGCAACCCUGAUGCAGCGACGCCGCGUGAGCGAUGAAGCCCUUCGGGGUGUAAAGCUCUUUCGGCAGGGAAGAUAAUGACGGUACCUGCAGAAGCAGCUGCGGCUAACUACGUGCCAGCAGCCGCGGUAAUACGUAGGCAGCGAGCGUUGUUCGGAGUUACUGGGCGUAAAGGGUGUGUAGGCGGUUGUUUAAGUUUGGUGUGAAAUCUCCCGGCUCAACUGGGAGGGUGCGCCGAAUACUGAAUGACUUGGAGUGCGGGAGAGGAAAGUGGAAUUCCUGGUGUAGCGGUGAAAUGCGUAGAUAUCAGGAGGAACACCGGUGGUGUAGACGGCUUUCUGGACCGUAACUGACGCUGAGACACGAAAGCGUGGGUAGCAAACA